AACGCACAUUGCGCCCGCCAGCAUUCUGGCGGGCAUGCCUGUUCGAGCGUCAUUUCAACCCUCGAGCCCCCCGGGGCUUGGUGUUGGGGGACGGCGGGGCCGACGAUACCGUCGCCCGCCGCCCCCGAAAUGAAUUGGCGGCCUCGACGCGGCCUCUCCUGCGUAGUAGCACAGUUUAUCUCGCAUCGGGAGCGCGUCGCGGCCACGCCGUAAAACGCCCAACUUCUUAGAGUUGACCUCGGAUCAGGUAGGAAUACCCGCUGAACUUAA
Molecule: unclassified non-coding RNA, 270 nt
Filed under: uncultured fungus
Lineage: Eukaryota; Fungi
Description: sequence contains ITS2
Source: RNAcentral